CUGUUAACGACUCUCGACAACGGAUAUCUCGGCUCUCGCAUCGAUAAAAAACGUACCGAAAUGCAAUACUUGGUGUGAAUUGCAAAAUCCCGUGAACCAUCAAGUCUUUGAACGCAAGUUGCGCCCAAACCCUUCUGGCCAAGGGCACGUCUGCCUGGGCGUCAAGC
This 167-nucleotide ribosomal RNA is filed under the name Plumbago zeylanica. RNAcentral describes it as "partial 5.8S ribosomal RNA". It matches the Rfam family "5.8S ribosomal RNA". From Rfam's summary of the family: 5.8S ribosomal RNA (5.8S rRNA) is a component of the large subunit of the eukaryotic ribosome. It is transcribed by RNA polymerase I as part of the 45S precursor that also contains 18S and 28S rRNA. Lineage: Eukaryota; Viridiplantae; Streptophyta; Magnoliopsida; Caryophyllales; Plumbaginaceae. The record is from RNAcentral.